UACGUAGGGGGCAAGCGUUGUCCGGAAUUAUUGGGCGUAAAGGGCGUGUAGGCGGCUUCGUAAGUCUUGUGUGAAAGCCCUCGGCUCAACCGAGGAAUUGCACGAGAAACUGCGUGGCUCGAGUCCGGGAGAGGAUAGUGGAAUUCCCAGUGUAGCGGUGAAAUGCGUAGAUAUUGGGAGGAACACCGGUGGCGAAGGCGGCUAUCUGGACCGGUACUGACGCUGAUACGCGAAAGCCAGGGGAGCAAACGGG
RNAcentral lists this ribosomal RNA (253 nucleotides) under uncultured bacterium. RNAcentral's name for it is "partial 16S ribosomal RNA". It matches the Rfam family "Bacterial small subunit ribosomal RNA", at positions 524 to 776 of the family's 1533-position model. The record is from RNAcentral.